Molecule: ribosomal RNA, 424 nt
Filed under: uncultured bacterium
Lineage: Bacteria
Description: partial 16S ribosomal RNA
Rfam family: Bacterial small subunit ribosomal RNA
Source: RNAcentral
AAUAUUGGACAAUGGGCGAAAGCCUGACCCAGCCAUGCCGCGUGUGUGAAGAAGGUCUUACGAUUGUAAAGCACUCUAAGUUCGGAGGAAGGUGUUGACGCUAACACCUUCAAUCUUUGACGUUACCAACAGAAUUAUCACAGGCUAACACUUUUCCAGUAGCCGCGGUAAUACGAAGGGUGCAAGCGUUAAUCGGAAUUACUGGGCGUAAAACGCGAGUAGGUGGUUUGUUAAGUUGGAAGUGAAAGACCCGGGCUCAACCUGGGAACUGCUUUCAAAACUGGCAAGCUAGAGUAUGGCAGAGGGUGGUGGAAUUUCCUGUGUAGCGGUGAAAUGCGUAGAUAUAGGAAGGAACACCAGUGGCGAAGGCGAACACCUGGACUAAUACUGACACUGAGGUGCGAAAGCGUGGGGAGCAAACAGG